AUAAGGUUAAGUUAAUAAGGGCGCACGGUGGAUGCCUUGGCACUAGGAGCCGACGAAGGACGUGACAAACGACGAUAUGCCUUGGGUAGCUGUAAGUAAGCGAUGAUCCAGGGAUUUCCGAAUGGGGGAACCCAACAGGUAAUACCUGUUACCCACAUCUGUUAAGGAUGUGAGGAGGAAGACGCAGUGAACUGAAACAUCUAAGUAGCUGCAGGAAGAGAAAGCAAAAGCGAUUGCCUUAGUAGCGGCGAGCGAAACGGCAGAAGGGCAAACCGAAGAGUUUACUCUUCGGGGUUGUAGGACUGCAAUGUGGACUCAAAGAUUAUAGAAGAAUGAUUUGGGAAGAUCAGCCAAAGAGAGUAAUAGCCUCGUAUUUAAAAUAGUCUUUGUACCUAGCAGUAUCCUGAGUACGGCGGGACACGUGAAAUCCCGUCGGAAUCUGGGAGGACCAUCUCCCAACCCUAAAUACUCCCUAGUGACCGAUAGUGAACCAGUACCGUGAGGGAAAGGUGAAAAGCACCCCGGGAGGGGAGUGAAAUAGAACCUGAAACCGUGUGCCUACAACAAGUUCGAGCCCGUUAAUGGGUGAGAGCGUGCCUUUUGUAGAAUGAACCGGCGAGUUACGUUAUGAUGCGAGGUUAAGUUGAAGAGACGGAGCCGUAGGGAAACCGAGUCUGAAUAGGGCGCCUUAGUAUCAUGACGUAGACCCGAAACCAUGUGACCUACCCAUGAGCAGGUUGAAGGUGCGGUAAGACGCACUGGAGGACCGAACCAGGGCACGUUGAAAAGUGCUUGGAUGACUUGUGGGUAGCGGAGAAAUUCCAAACGAACUUGGAGAUAGCUGGUUCUCUCCGAAAUAGCUUUAGGGCUAGCGUCGACAUUAGAGAUUCUUGGAGGUAGAGC
This 903-nucleotide ribosomal RNA is filed under the name Streptococcus pneumoniae E709. RNAcentral describes it as "bacterial LSU rRNA". It matches the Rfam family "Bacterial large subunit ribosomal RNA", at positions 1 to 908 of the family's 2925-position model. Lineage: Bacteria; Bacillati; Bacillota; Bacilli; Lactobacillales; Streptococcaceae. The record is from RNAcentral.